Molecule: ribosomal RNA, 305 nt
Filed under: uncultured bacterium
Lineage: Bacteria
Description: bacterial SSU rRNA
Rfam family: Bacterial small subunit ribosomal RNA
Source: RNAcentral
CUACGGGACGCAGCAGUGAGGAAUAUUGGUCAAUGGAUGCAAGUCUGAACCAGCCAUGCCUCGUUCCUGAUUACGGCUCUAUGAGUUGUAAACUGCUUUUGUACGAGGGUAAACCCCGAUACGUGUAUCGGGUUGAAAGUAUCGUACGAAUAAGGAUCGGCUAACUCCGUGCCAGCAGCCGCGGUAAUACGGAGGAUCCGAGCGUUAUCCGGAUUUAUUGGGUUUAAAGGGUGCGUAGGCGGGCUUUUAAGUCAGCGGUAAAAAUUCGGGGCUCAACCCCGUCCGGCCGUUGAAACUGGGGGCCU